GUUCUUGCUUUGACAGCACAUAUACCAAAAUUGAAAUGAUACAGAGAAAAUAAGCAUGGCCCAAUGCAAGGCUGAGAAGCAAAUUCGUGUUGUUCCAUAUUAAG
Lynx canadensis (Canada lynx) is the source of this 104-nucleotide small nuclear RNA. Lineage: Eukaryota; Metazoa; Chordata; Mammalia; Carnivora; Felidae. The record is from Ensembl.